GACGAACGCUGGCGGCGUGCCUAAUACAUGCAAGUAGAACGCACAGUUUAUACCGUAGCUUGCUACACCAUAGACUGUGAGUUGCGAACGGGUGAGUAACGCGUAGGUAACCUGCCUGGUAGCGGGGGAUAACUAUUGGAAACGAUAGCUAAUACCGCAUAAUAUUAAUUAUUGCAUGAUAAUUAAUUGAAAGGUGCAAUUGCACCACUACCAGAUGGACCUGCGUUGUAUUAGCUAGUAGGUGAGGUAACGGCUCACCUAGGCGACGAUACAUAGCCGACCUGAGAGGGUGAUCGGCCACACUGGGACUGGGACACGGCCCAGAGUCCUACGGGAGGCAGCAGUAGGGAAUCUUCGGCAAUGGACGAAAGUCUGACCGAGCAACGCCGCGUGAGUGAAGAAGGUUUUCGGAUCGUAAAGCUCUGUUGUAAGAGAAGAACGGGUGUGAGAGUGGAAAGUUCACACUGUGACGGUAUCUUACCAGAAAGGGACGGCUAACUACGUG
RNAcentral lists this ribosomal RNA (505 nucleotides) under uncultured bacterium. RNAcentral's name for it is "partial 16S ribosomal RNA". It matches the Rfam family "Bacterial small subunit ribosomal RNA", at positions 28 to 507 of the family's 1533-position model. The record is from RNAcentral.